UGUUGAGCAGAGUUGGACUGCUGAUUAGUUUCUCCUAGUUCGGCAGAAGAAGUUGAAAAAUUGCCCUAUGCCCUGUUUAAAUAACAUUUAACUUGAAAUUGUGGUUGCCCAUGCCCCUUGUUAUAUGUUUGCUUGGCUUAUGAGGAUGGAUGUUUGGCCUCUAUAUUCCAAUGUUUGUUCCACUUGAUUAUGUUGCCUCUGUGUUUGCAGUUUUACGUUUAGAAAAGAGUAGGAUGAAGUUUUCUUUUGUCUGGGUGGUUAAGAAAGCGGUAAAUCGCAUGCUAUAAUUAUUAACCUGGGUCGCUUCUAA
This 310-nucleotide unclassified non-coding RNA is filed under the name Hevea brasiliensis (rubber tree). The record is from RNAcentral. Lineage: Eukaryota; Viridiplantae; Streptophyta; Magnoliopsida; Malpighiales; Euphorbiaceae.